AGGAAGUAGUUAAUUAUAACAUUUGAUUUGCAUUCAAAAAGUAUUGAUUUAUUCAAUCUUUCUUA
RNAcentral lists this transfer RNA (65 nucleotides) under Chironomus sp. LRC-2002. RNAcentral's name for it is "tRNA-Ala". It matches the Rfam family "tRNA". From Rfam's summary of the family: Transfer RNA (tRNA) molecules are approximately 80 nucleotides in length. Their secondary structure includes four short double-helical elements and three loops (D, anti-codon, and T loops). Lineage: Eukaryota; Metazoa; Arthropoda; Insecta; Diptera; Chironomidae. The record is from RNAcentral.